RNAcentral lists this ribosomal RNA (497 nucleotides) under uncultured bacterium. Its description in RNAcentral is "partial 16S ribosomal RNA". It matches the Rfam family "Bacterial small subunit ribosomal RNA", at positions 28 to 507 of the family's 1533-position model. The record is from RNAcentral.
GAUGAACGCUGGCGGCGUGCCUAAUACAUGCAAGUCGAGCGAACGGACGAGAAGCUUGCUUUUCUGAUGUUAGCGGCGGACGGGUGAGUAACACGUGGAUAACCUACCUAUAAGACUGGGAUAACUUCGGGAAACCGGAGCUACUACCGGAUAAUAUUUUGAACCGCAUGGUUCAAAAGUGAAAGACGGUCUUGCUGUCACUUAUAGAUGGAUCCGCGCUGCAUUAGCUAGUUGGUAAGGUAACGGCUUACCAAGGCAACGAUGCAUAGCCGACCUGAGAGGGUGAUCGGCCACACUGGAACUGAGACACGGUCCAGACUCCUACGGGAGGCAGCAGUAGGGAAUCUUCCGCAAUGGGCGAAAGCCUGACGCAGCAACGCCGCGUGAGUGAUGAAGGUCUUCGGAUCGUAAAGCUCUGUUAUUAGGGAAGAACAGAUGUGUAAGUAACUGUGCACAUCUUGACGGUACCUAAUCAGAAAGCCACGGCUAACUACGUG